AACGCUAGCUACAGGCUUAACACAUGCAAGUCGAGGGGCAGCAUCAUCAAAGCUUGCUUUGAUGGAUGGCGACCGGCGCACGGGUGAGUAACACGUAUCCAACCUGCCGACAACACUGGGAUAGCCUUUCGAAAGAAAGAUUAAUACCGGAUGGCAUAGUUUUCCCGCAUGGGAUAAUUAUUAAAGAAUUUCGGUUGUCGAUGGGGAUGCGUUCCAUUAGGCAGUUGGCGGGGUAACGGCCCACCAAACCAACGAUGGAUAGGGGUUCUGAGAGGAAGGUCCCCCACAUUGGAACUGAGACACGGUCCAAACUCCUACGGGAGGCAGCAGUGAGGAAUAUUGGUCAAUGGACGAGAGUCUGAACCAGCCAAGUAGCGUGAAGGAUGACUGCCCUAUGGGUUGUAAACUUCUUUUAUACGGGAAUAAAGUGAGCCACGUGUGGCUUUUUGUAUGUACCGUAUGAAUAAGGAUCGGCUAACUCCGUGCCAGCAGCCGCGGUAAUACGGAGGAUCCGAGCGUUAUCCGGAUUUAUUGGGUUUAAAGGGAGCGUAGGCGGGUUGUUAAGUCAGUUGUGAAAGUUUGCGGCUCAACCGUAAAAUUGCAGUUGAUACUGGCGACCUUGAGUGCAACAGAGGUAGGCGGAAUUCGUGGUGUAGCGGUGAAAUGCUUAGAUAUCACGAAGAACUCCGAUUG
Molecule: ribosomal RNA, 693 nt
Filed under: uncultured Bacteroidales bacterium
Lineage: Bacteria; Pseudomonadati; Bacteroidota; Bacteroidia; Bacteroidales
Description: bacterial SSU rRNA
Rfam family: Bacterial small subunit ribosomal RNA
Source: RNAcentral